GCUAGUUUAGCAUAAUUUAAGUGUGUGGAAUUGUAGCUUCCGAGGUAAUAUAAAUUAACUAGAA
RNAcentral lists this transfer RNA (64 nucleotides) under Macrogyrodactylus karibae. Its description in RNAcentral is "tRNA-Tyr". The record is from RNAcentral. Lineage: Eukaryota; Metazoa; Platyhelminthes; Monogenea; Gyrodactylidea; Gyrodactylidae.